GACGAACGCUGGCGGCGUGCUUAACACAUGCAAGUCGAACGGUGAAGCGCCUUCCUUUUUGGUGGGUGUGGAUGAGUGGCGAACGGGUGAGUAACACGUGAGUAACCUGCCCCCUUCUUCUGGAUAACCGCAUGAAAGUGUGGCUAAUACGGGAUAUUCUGGGUCUGUCGCAUGAUGGGUCUGGGAAAGAUAUUGUUUCGGUGGGGGAUGGGCUCGCGGCCUAUCAGCUUGUUGGUGGGGUGAUGGCCUACCAAGGCGGUGACGGGUAGCCGGCCUGAGAGGGUGGACGGUCACAUUGGGACUGAGACACGGCCCAGACUCCUACGGGAGGCAGCAGUGGGGAAUAUUGCACAAUGGGCGCAAGCCUGAUGCAGCGACGCCGCGGGAGGGAUGGAGGCCUUCGGGUUGUGAACCUCUUUCGCCAGUGAAGCAGGCCUGCCUCGUUUGUGGGUGGGUUGACGGUAGCUGGAUAAGAAGCGCCGGCUAACUACGUG
RNAcentral lists this ribosomal RNA (494 nucleotides) under uncultured bacterium. RNAcentral's name for it is "partial 16S ribosomal RNA". It matches the Rfam family "Bacterial small subunit ribosomal RNA", at positions 28 to 507 of the family's 1533-position model. The record is from RNAcentral.